CCUACGGGUGGCAGCAGUGGGGAAUAUUGGACAAUGGGCGAAAGCCUGAUCCAGCCAUGCCGCGUGUGUGAAGAAGGCCUUCGGGUUGUAAAGCACUUUCAGUGGGGAAGAAAGCCUUGGGGCUAAUACCCUCGAGGAAGGACAUCACCCACAGAAGAAGCACCGGCUAACUCCGUGCCAGCAGCCGCGGUAAUACGGAGGGUGCGAGCGUUAAUCGGAAUUACUGGGCGUAAAGCGCGCGUAGGCGGUCUGAUAAGCCGGUUGUGAAAGCCCCGGGCUCAACCUGGGAACGGCAUCCGGAACUGUCAGGCUAGAGUGCAGGAGAGGAAGGUAGAAUUCCCGGUGUAGCGGUGAAAUGCGUAGAGAUCGGGAGGAAUACCAGUGGCGAAGGCGGCCUUCUGGACUGACACUGACGCUGAGGUGCGAAAACGUGGGUAGCAAACAGGAUUAGAUACCCCUGUAGUC
RNAcentral lists this ribosomal RNA (465 nucleotides) under Vreelandella stevensii. RNAcentral describes it as "partial 16S ribosomal RNA". It matches the Rfam family "Bacterial small subunit ribosomal RNA", at positions 338 to 795 of the family's 1533-position model. Lineage: Bacteria; Pseudomonadati; Pseudomonadota; Gammaproteobacteria; Oceanospirillales; Halomonadaceae. The record is from RNAcentral.